CGCCACCAAUGUGGCCCAGGCCACCAGCCCCCGUGACACUGCAGCCAUCCCCUUUGCUCCCCGUCGUGGCCUCCCGACCGAGCAGCCAGAGUGACCCCGAAAGCCUAAAUCAGCCUGCGGCGCCCUCACCCGUCCUCCAGCUGCCAUCGCCUCCUGGGUGAAGAGGACGCAGGUCGCAGCCCCCGCAGCUCUGCCCCUCUGCCCUCCGGCCAGGCCGCCCCGCUGUCCCCCUUGCUGUCCACCUCUCUGUCCACCCCUGCUGUCCCCCCCCGCUGUCCCCCCCGCUGUCACACCCCCGCUGUCCCCCCCCCGCUGUCCCCCCUGUUGUCCCCCCGCUGUCCCUCCCGCUGUCCCUCCGGCGAGGAGGCUUCUGCACGUUCUGCGUGGGCCUCUCCCCGGGGCCGCCCCAGGUCUCCCCUGACGCCCACACCCACCACCAGGCUGUUGUGCGGGACCUUCCUUCUCUGCCUCUCCAGCUGGUGACGCGCACUGACGUCCUGCAAGGCCCGCUCCAGGUGCGCCACCUUUGACUGGCAUGCUGAAAGGACAAAGGGACGGAGGCAUUUUACCGGAGAGGACAUCCAUGGGGCCCAGCAGGUCAAAUUCCUUUCUCUAAGUAUGGGAGACAUUUUUAAAAAUAAUGGAGUCCUCCAGGGCCGGCUGCGUGCUGUGGCCUGUGCUCCUCACUGCUUUGGACCCAGGCUGCGCUGUCUCCACCACGACCAAGGACUCACAGAGCUCGCCUGGGGGACCUGGCCCCACAGUCACCCCGUCCGUCAUCAGCCUCAAAUGCCAUCAGCCCGUGAAUGCUGCUCCAUCGUCUGCAUGGCAGCCAAGGAGGUCUCUGCUCCUAAAGCACCUGGGAGCCCUUGGAUGGUGCCAGGUGAUGUGGCGAUGAGUGGGCAUCGCGUGGGGGCCUUGGACGAGCGUGGACACCCCAAUCCCCAGACUGGCCAUUGCCGUGGAGGCAGCGUGAGUGUGACAUGGAGCUCGGUGUCGUGCUGCAGAGGACGCCUCGCGGCUGUACGCGUCAUGAUAGCCAGGGACCCCUCCACAUGUCACUUAGCCAAAGGAUGCAGCCCAGCCUGGGGCUUUCUACCCCAGGCCCGAGGACCUGCAGGGACAAGGACCCCUCAGCGCAGAUGCAGCUCUCAUGAGGCCUGAAACCAAGCUGGACUUGCAGAACUGCGCACGCUCCCUUUCUGAAAGAAACACCCGUUACCGGGUCCAGACUGAAUGUGGGCGUAAGAAAGCGGGAAGGGUCCCCCACAGCAAGAGAGAGACCCUCCCAGUCACUUGGUCAUCUGAGCCUUGAGUGUGUCCGGCCCCAGCCACCAGCCUGUCCCCACUAUCCCUCUUGUCAGCACGGCUGAAAGGAGCUGCCUGGGCACCUGAGGUGGCUGAGGCUCAUCUUUGAGGAGCAUGGAACUCGAGGGGAGAAGUCGCGCCCCCAGGGAAGCCAGGAAACUCUGACACAGAACGCCCAACGUGGACACAGGUGCCAGUUCAGCAGUGACCGUCAAGACCGGGGAAGUGCCCUGUGGUGACCAGGAGAACAAGGAGCUCCUCCAGCAAGCAGGGCUGCAGUGGGAGCUGGGAGGGAGCAGUGCACCUGCCAGCGUGGCCGAGUCACACAGUGCCUGCCCUCACCUGUGGAAUUUGGUGUCAGCUAAAAGGAAGAAGAAAUGGAAACUUAAAUUCUAGCCGGUCAUUUUCUUAAAACUGCAAACAUUUCUCUCGAGUGUGGACUGGCCCGGCUUCGGUGAAAGGUGCCCUCCUACCUAGCAGGGUCUCGGCACUCUGCUGUGUUCUUUGCACCGCGGUCACUAUUUCAGAAACACGGUCCUGAUACUCAUCCUGAUAAUCUCUUAAGAGCGCCCGAGAAGAAGAAUGAAACGCCUGUAUAUCCUGGUUAAGUUUCUAUAAAAUAAGAACAUACACGAUUCAUAAAAUUAUAUGAUUAAUGAUCACAGUAUAAUUACAUAAGAAUUUGUUAUAUAUGUUUCUAUAGAAUAAUAACAUACCCACACAAUUAAUAUAAGGGAUAUGUUGUUAACUGGAAGGGUGUAAAGCAGAAGUUCUUCGGCCCGGGCCUGUCGAUGCCCGCCAGGACUGUUUUCAUGCUGCCUGUGCCUCGGCUCACUUACAGAAGUUCUGACUCAAUACAUCUGGGAUUUCUACUUUCAAAGCAGUACAUGUGAUUUUAUGCCCUUAAAGUAUUUAAGAAACAGAAAGUCAAGUGUUUCACCAAUUUCCGUAGGAAGGGCCGCUCACUGCACGGUGGGGCGAUGCUGGGCGCGAGCCGUGUUUCCGUCUAUUGUUGACUUCCUCACGAUGCUGGCUCAGGCUCAGAGCCUCUCAUCACCGCCUGUGAAAUGGGGACCACCCUCCUAAUCUACUAUCCAGACCUGCCUUCUGGAAGCUCAAUUAUCACGAGCACAUGGUGGAAAACGUGGGCCGGUGAAAACAACUUAACAUGUAAAUGUACAUAAUAAAAUUCCAGGCACAAUACAUAUGAACGCUUUUAGAGAACUUUGGGAGCAAAGCAACUGAUGUCCUGCGUGGAAAGUCCUCUUCUCCCCAUGAAAUUAUCUCAAGGAUCUUCCAUGGGAAGAUGUGACAGAACCAGGACACUACUGCUUAAUAUUUAAUAUCAGAUACUCUUAAAUCACAGGAGCAUAACUAAAGUAUUCUUCGUUUCUUUAGUCAAAUCUCCUUUUCUAUAAAAUGGAGACGGCUUUCAUAUGUUUGGGAAACAUUUUAAUAACGAAUUAAUAAACAUUUUAAUAUCAAAA
Long non-coding RNA from Homo sapiens (human), 2795 nucleotides. Ensembl annotates it as KIF25 antisense RNA 1. Its record names the gene KIF25-AS1. The record is from Ensembl. Lineage: Eukaryota; Metazoa; Chordata; Mammalia; Primates; Hominidae.